Molossus molossus (Pallas's mastiff bat) is the source of this 164-nucleotide small nuclear RNA. RefSeq annotates it as U1 spliceosomal RNA. The transcript has a single exon. The record is from RefSeq and is a predicted model, not a curated record. NCBI's taxonomy places the organism in Eukaryota, Metazoa, Chordata, Mammalia, Chiroptera, Molossidae.
AUACUUACCUGGCAGGGGCGAUACCAUGAUCACCAAGGUGGUUUUCCCAGGGCGAGGCUUAUCCAUUGCACUCUGGAUGUCCUGACCCCUGCAAUUUCCCCAAGUGUGGGAAAUUUGACUGCACAAUUUGUGGUAGUAGGGGACUGUGUUCACACUGUCCCCUA